RNAcentral lists this ribosomal RNA (301 nucleotides) under uncultured bacterium. RNAcentral's name for it is "partial 16S ribosomal RNA". It matches the Rfam family "Bacterial small subunit ribosomal RNA", at positions 509 to 807 of the family's 1533-position model. The record is from RNAcentral.
CAGCAGCCACGGUAAUACGGAGGGAGCUAGCGUUAUUCGGAAUUACUGGGCGUAAAGCGCACGUAGGCGGCUUUGUAAGUAAGAGGUGAAAGCCCGGAGCUCAACUCCGGAACUGCCUUUUAGACUGCAUCGCUUGAAUCCAGGAGAGGUGAGUGGAAUUCCGAGUGUAGAGGUGAAAUUCGUAGAUAUUCGGAAGAACACCAGUGGCGAAGGCGGCUCACUGGACUGGUAUUGACGCUGAGGUGCGAAAGCGUGGGGAGCAAACAGGAUUAGAUACCCCAGUAGUCCCUGUCUCUUAUAC